CCUCCUCCUGCUCCUCCUGGUUUGUCCCUGAAGUUUCCUAGAAUCUUCCACAGUUCCAGUUUCAGGGAACGUCGGUAAGCUGCCGGCUCCAAAAAAUGUGAUCAGCUGAUGGGGCUUCAGGAUGUGAAACUGUUCUCCACUCUUCAGGCGGAAGGAGGUUCUGAAUGUGCCGUUUUGUGCUCUUAUACAGUGGAGCUGUCGUUUCAGGCAAAGCGCUCAACCCUCUACCUCCCCUGCCGCCUCCGGUCAUCGUUUUUCCUCCGGCUGACCACUACGUUGCCUCCUUCGGUCUGGUCUCCGGUCUCCUUCUCCGCCGCCACCAGUGUCUAGACUCCAUCAGGGGUUAUGUCCUGUUUCUCUACCCCUUCAAAAAAAUAUAUUACAACGAUGGAGUCUAAUCUCCAAAGACUCUGUACUUUUUAU
Long non-coding RNA from Sander lucioperca (pikeperch), 423 nucleotides. RefSeq lists it as uncharacterized. The transcript is spliced from 3 exons. The record is from RefSeq and is a predicted model, not a curated record. Lineage: Eukaryota; Metazoa; Chordata; Actinopteri; Perciformes; Percidae.